GAUAAAUUGCAAUAUGCAUUAAUUCUUCAGUAACAACAUUUCCACUUUUGUGCAUAAACAAUCUUAAAUUCACCAAUAAUGUACUAACGUCGAGCAUAAAAUUUAUUUUAUAAUAAUGGUUUUAAUACAAUACAUAAUCUUUUAAUUGGAACAUGCACAGCAUCAUGUAAAAUAUUACAAUGAUUUUAAUGGUAAAUAUUUUGCUAACAAUGUCGUGUUUUCCUUAUUUUUGGUUAACCUUAUAAAAGAAAACAAAUCCACACAAUAAUGGAAUGUUUUCAAGGGUGAAUCGGUGGAGGAACAACUUUGUGUCCCGCUCCAGGACUAGGUCCAGAGUUCUUAAUCUGAACAAUAGGUUUCUGCAAGUCGAGUAAUCUUUUUCCUUUACCCGAAGUUGAAACAAAUGUCACUGGUUUUGGUUGCAGUGUCAUUUGACUAACCCGGCCCAGUUCAUCCGACAAUGGUCGAGCUGUGGCAUAAAAUACCGAACUGAAUAUCAGAGAGUAAAGAAGAAAAAAGACGAGCGAAAAGUAAAGUUGUUUUCCCAUAGGAUUCAAUUGGAAAUUGGUUGUAUAAUGGAUAGAGUUUAUUAAUAUUUUCAGAAUGG
Molecule: long non-coding RNA, 607 nt
Filed under: Olea europaea subsp. europaea
Lineage: Eukaryota; Viridiplantae; Streptophyta; Magnoliopsida; Lamiales; Oleaceae
Source: RNAcentral